GAUGAACGCUAGCGGCAGGCUUAACACAUGCAAGUCGAGGGGCAGCAUGCUGAUAGCUUGCUAUCAGUGAUGGCGACCGGCGCACGGGUGAGUAACGCGUAUCCAACCUGCCUGUCACUCAGGAAUAGCCCGGUGAAAACCGGAUUAAGUCCUGAUGAUAUCAUUAGAGGGCAUCUGACGAUGAUUAAAGGUUACGGUGACAGAUGGGGAUGCGUCUGAUUAGCUUGUUGGCGGGGUAACGCCCACCAAGGCAACGAUCAGUAGGGGUUCUGAGAGGAAGUCCCCCACAUUGGAACUGAGACACGGUCCAAAACUCCUACGGGAGCAGCAGUGAGGAAUAUUGGUCAAUGGACGGAAGUCUGGAACCAGGCCAAGUAGCGUGCAGGAUGACGCCUA
RNAcentral lists this ribosomal RNA (396 nucleotides) under uncultured bacterium. RNAcentral describes it as "bacterial SSU rRNA". It matches the Rfam family "Bacterial small subunit ribosomal RNA", at positions 28 to 417 of the family's 1533-position model. The record is from RNAcentral.